Molecule: non-coding RNA, 45 nt
Filed under: Trichobilharzia regenti
Lineage: Eukaryota; Metazoa; Platyhelminthes; Trematoda; Strigeidida; Schistosomatidae
Source: RNAcentral
GUACUGUGGAGAGUCCCACAAUAGGACGAAACAGCUGUCCAGUAC